This is an RNA transcript of Nilaparvata lugens (brown planthopper), 1229 nucleotides long. RefSeq lists it as uncharacterized. The transcript has 5 exons. NCBI's taxonomy places the organism in Eukaryota, Metazoa, Arthropoda, Insecta, Hemiptera, Delphacidae. The record is from RefSeq and is a predicted model, not a curated record.
AAUGAAAUAGUCAUGUUGAUUGUGGAAAUUUUCUUCCAUAAUUGGUUGAAAUUAUCUUCAGAGAGAAAUUGGAGGCUUAUUGGUGUAUUUUCGCAAGAACUGUCAGCAUCUGCUUCUUUUAGAGAGGUUUACAAAUCAAUAUUUGAAUAAAGUGAAUAAAUAAAUAGAUAAAUAUCUAAAUAUUGAAAAAUUAAUCGAUGAUGAUAUUUCUACCAUCAUUUCAACAACUAUUCAUAUUUUUAUGGCUAAUAAUUCACGAAUUAUUCUCAACAAAUGCUGUUCCAUCUCCUGAAACUGUAGGAGGAUUACUCGGAAAACCAUGUCACGGCAGCUUUGAUUGCGAAAUCGACCAAUGGUGCUACGACAACCAAUGCGACCUGCCCUGUCCCAGAUUGCACUGUGCCGAGAUCAAGCCACCAGAUGGCGUUUGUGUCGUCAGAGACCACCAACCAAUCUGCAAAAGCCCAGCUGAGCUGGAGUUCGAGCAACAAGUACGAGAAAGCGGAGGCUGCGUUAAUAGUGAUGAUUGCGGGGAAAAUGAAUGGUGCAUGUACGCAGUUUGUGAGGACGCAUGCGCAAAGCUCAACUGCGCAGCUGAACAAGCGUUUCGACUGUAGAGUCCAAAAUCAUCAUCCCAAAUGCUAUUCGAAAGUGAUUGAGGCUGGAGAAAUUCCAGACGUAUAAGAUGUUGCUGUUGUAGGAGGAUACUGCAAGAGUAGUUUCCAAUGUGAGAGCCACUUGAACUGCCUGAAAAACAAGUGUGAAGACCCAUGUGAAUCACUGGGGUGCUCCAUAUUCAAACUGGAUGAGCCACCAGAAGACUUCACGGAGAUACAGAAACUCUGGUUUCAAUUCAACAAGAAUGUCAACUGGCGGUGUCUGGUGUGGAUGCAUAUUGCCGAGUGCGUCCUAAGAGACAGUUCCGUCACUAGCGGCUUCCUCGAAGUUGAUUCACGCUGAUUCACGUUGAUUCACGCUGAUUCACGUUUAUUCACGCUGAUUCACGCUGAUUCACGCUGAUUCACGUUGAUUGACUUUGAUUGACGUUGAUUCACAUUGAUUCACGCUGAUUCACGCUGAUUCACGUUGAUUCACGUUUAUUCACGCUGAUUCACGUUGAUAGUGUAUUCCAAAUUAAGGUUUAGAGCAGUUUUGGGCGAAUGCCUGUUGUUUUUACCUGGAUUGUAUUAUUUUGUAUGUGAAUAAAUAAAUGAAUGAAUAAAUAAAAC